This 350-nucleotide unclassified non-coding RNA is filed under the name fungal sp. RNAcentral's name for it is "partial internal transcribed spacer region". The stretch from base 1 to 46 matches the Rfam family "Eukaryotic small subunit ribosomal RNA", at positions 1786 to 1831 of the family's 1831-position model. The record is from RNAcentral. Lineage: Eukaryota; Fungi.
AAGUCGUAACAAGGUUUCCGUAGGUGAACCUGGGGAAGGAUCAUUAACACGUAUCCAACGUUAAACAACCCUGUGAACUUAAGUUUUGAUUCGGGACCUCUGUCCAAAAGGUGUUACAAUUGAGCGGUAGAGGCAGUGGCAUGGCUUCCCCAAGCAGUUAGUGAAUGACAGUGUCACUGAUUGUGUAAGGAUAACGCCUCACGGUUGCCAGAGGUCGAUCACCGACCGGCAGACAUGUCACAGGGUCACCACGCCCCUUAAUCACCCCAAUUUGAAAUUGCUCCUACCUGGUGGUAACGCACUGGGUCAAAAAAACCGAACAACUGUUAACAAUGGAUAUCUUGGUUCUC